GGUUAUUUCCUGAGAUGAUGACUUACACCUGCUUUCUGUUGCAAGGUUGCUGAUGUACGGGAUACCUGGUUUGGAUAUGAAGACAUGACUGAGCAGAAAAUUGAAGAUGCUGUGCAAGUGUUCAAGAUACUAUGGUGGAGCUUUGGCUUGUACAUUACUUGGGAGGACUUCAGCACAUGAUCCCGUAGCUGAUCUGGAAAGAUGGCGGAAGCUUGACCCUGAGGCAGAGGCUGGCCCAAAGUUGCAGAUCUUGAGAUCAAGCUCCCCUGGAGAUGACCAUCUUGAGCAGGCAAUAAGUGUUUCAUGCAUUUUUUGAAAGACAUUCUAAAGAAUACUCUGAAUAUUUUUCUGAUACAUUGAUUUUACUGAUCAAAGCUUGAAAGAUUAUGUCCAUGGUUGUGUAGAAGGAAGGAAGUAACUUUUAUCUUAGAGGAAUCUUUGUAGCUAUUUCAAUAGCAGAAGUAGUGGCCAAGUGCCCAGCCUUUUAUCUUUGAGUCUCUAGAGGGUCUUGACAAUUUGUCUUGAAUAUAGACUUCACUAAAAUCAACUCUAUCUUUGUCACCUCCACAUUGGGCACUAAUGUACUUUCUGAAGAGCUUAUCUCAUAGUGAACAUUAAAUUAGAACUCCAUAAACUUAAUUUGCUUCCACUGCUUCAUUUGCUUCCAAGUGUAAUACUUGGUAUUGAUUUUAACUUAUAUUUAACUUUUAUAGUGGUAGUUGCACGUACUUAAGAGGCUGCUACUUCUUGCUGUGAAACCUGACUUGAGUAUAAGAUUUUAGCCAUUGCAGACAACAGCAUUUGUUUUCUCUGAAAGACCUGCAAAGUGUUAACUUAGUAGAAACCAAGGCUUCAAGAUAUUCUCUGUAGACUAUGUAUGCUUUUAUAGUGGCAUUGGAGAAUAGCUAUGAAAUGGCUACCAUCCCUGGUUUGGUCUAACAUUUGUCUUCUCUUAAAAUAUAUUGUUUCUUUUUCAAAAUUAUAUUUUAUUCUUGAGAAUUUUCUUCUAAUAUGUUUGUGAUCAAUUAAAGUGUAUUUUGCAAUACGCUGGAGACAUCAGACUAAAUUCAGCCCUAUUUUCUAUUCAUUCUCAGUUAUUGUUCUUCUUGUUGACAGUGUCAAGAGAAUAAAUGUAAUGAAGUCAGCACAAACUCUGUAAUAACUAUCCUUCAUAUGCUUUAAGUUUUCUGGAAAAUUUUGGACUUUUCUCCAUAGAACAAAUGCUUACACUUUGCUUUUCCUAUUUAUUUAUUUUUUUAAAAAGAAUGCAACAAAUUAUGCACGCAUUUUGCAGACAUAGAUUGCUUUUGGUAAGAUCUCUUAAUGUUAGUUUGUACGUGGAUGACUUCACUCAAUGACUUUUUUUUCAAGGUAAAAUUUAGUUUUCUAUUUUUGGUAUGCAGACCACUGUGUGACCUUGAGCUGCCAUCUGGAGUUGAGUUUCAAUUCGAGCAAAAGCGUACAGUACAUAAAGGGCACAGAUUCCCCUUGAUCUUUUGGUCCAGAAGAGAGGACCUAACAUCCCUCGUGUAUGGUAGAAUGCAUGAGUGUGGCAAGUAUGUGGUAUUCUCAUGCAGGCAGUAAGAGCUGUCAUUCUUCAUUCAGUAUGUGCUAUCAGUAAGAAAUUCUCAUUCUUCUUUUGAACUUUCCAACUGUUUUGUGGGAUGCAUGACUCCCAAGAGAACAAUCAGUCUUUUAAACUCUUUGCUAGCUGAAUUUUUAAAUGGUGCACUUCUGAUGAAGUUCUUACAAACUGGUGAGUAUUUUAAUUUUCUUCAGUAAUUUUCAAUGUCAGUAGUACUAGGUCUAUUAUACCCAUACAAACCAGUGCAGCAUGAUUUGUCUUAAAGUGACAUAAAGAAACUGAACAUGGAAAAGAGCUGAAAUAUAGUUAGGAUUUAUGAUUUAAAAAUUAAUAUAUAAAUCACUUGUGAUCUUUUCAAGACAGAACAGUUGAAAACUAUUUCCACUACAGGAAGUAGAUAUUAAACAAAUGUGGAUAAAUGUAGACAUUGUGGAAGAUGUCCAACUUGGAGAAUUGCCAAAGCACUAAAAUUAAUACGUUAUAUAAAUUGUGAAAUUUAUGUAGCCAAACAUUUGUUGAACUAAAUGAUCUUAGUGAUCUUUUCCAAACUUCAUGAUUCUGUGUUCAUCAAGAAAGUGAUUUUGUGUUUCCUUCAGAGCAUUAAAUAUCCCAAUUUUAAUUGAAUAUAAGAUAUGGAACCCAGUGAAUACUUGAAAUGCAUGUUAAGAAAUAUCUUUUCUGAUAUGUACCUUUUUAUUUCAAAGAAGAGAAUAUGUCUGGAAGAGUCAUUUAUAUGCAGUUUAGAAUUCUAGUUGAACAAUUCCUUCCCCUUUCCUGAAAUGUACAAAGGAGCAUCUCCAUCCUUAGUGACCUUUCUUAAUUUAUGUCACCUGGUAAGAUUUUUAACCUGUGAUUGCAUUGAACUUAGUAAGUACAAAUGAAAAGCAUACUCAGUACUUAAUUGCAUUAAAAUAGAUAAAACUUCUUUAGAAAAAUAUUAAGCUCUCACAAGAAGUUGCAAGACAUUCUAGAAAAAGAAAAAAAUGAUUAAAACUCUCUGAGAGUUUCUUUUCUGGAAACCUUUUCAAUUUUCCUUUAACUGACAUAUUCUAUCUUUAUUCUCUUCUCAAAAUUACUGUUUUACUAUGGUAAGCAUUAAGUAGUGAUAGGUAAUUGAAAUUCAUUAGUAAAGGGAAUGAGCAGAAUAAUGGUAAAACUAGAGAAUAAUAGAAAAAUAGAAAAGUAUCUAAAAUACUGUAGCUUUGUGUGUGUGUGUGUUUUUCUCCUUGUAUUUUGCUUGAAAUGUUCUUGUGACCACUAUUUCAUUUCUUUCCAAAUGACUGGACAGGUUUUCAAUUGCUUCUAAUCAAUGUAAUUUGGUGAUGUUAAUUUUUUUUUUAUUUAUUUUUACUGUUAGAAGAGCUAUUUUUAGAAAAUUAAUGUUACACACAGAUUAGAAAACUAAAUUGCUAUGUCUGUACUGAAGAAGCAACAUCUGUGUUGCCACCUACCCAGCAGACAAAGAUUUUUAAAUUUGGGUUUUCUCUGCAAAAUGGUAUGUUGUGAUUCCUAUCCAGAUAAUAAAGCCAAGCAAAUAAAUUCUACAAAACAAGACUCCUGAAAUACAGCAGGGUAAUUUUUUGAACAUGUCUCUCAUUGACUAAUCAAGAGAUGGUUGGAGCAGUGCAAACUAUUACAUGGGGGCAAAUGGCUUAUAAAUCAAGAUAACUUUUUAUGGAUUCAAGUCUUUCCUGAAAAACUAAACAUUUCAAGAAAAGCAUUUGCCAGAACAUUAGCUGAAGGAAUAAGCUCCAGCUCAUUGUUGCUGUUUGAUGAGGAGUGAUGACAGGAGAACCUCAAGCCAAGUGAGGCCUACUACAGAUACACAAAUCAGAGAAAAACAAAUAAAAAAAGAAUGGGUAUUUAUAAAAUAGAUAAGAAUUCUCUGUUCUUAGUUGCAAGUAUCCCUUAAUGAUGGCCUUUAAUGAAACAGCUUUAAAGUUGAUUGGGUUAAAUCUGGAGUGAGAGUGCACCACCACGUGUGCUGGGCUGAGGAGACCAUCAUAUCAGGUUAGUGUUCUGCUUUGGUUUCUAGCUGCCAUCUUGCUUUAAACUACCUUUUCUGUUUUGUCAGAUUGCUUAAGCUGGUAGUAUGCACCAAAUGCCAGAUAGAUAGAUGUUGUGUGACUGAAGAGUCUUAAUAUUCCCACUGACAACUAUUCUCUUGAGAGAGAAAUCAUGCUUAGAAGUGUUAGGAUUUCUCCUUUGUUGUUUGCAUUGUGGCGUGAGAUUAUAUUUAACCUUUAGAUUACAUUUUAAAAGAAAACAGAUAUUGUUUCACUUUGUUUUACUUUUCAUACAGAGUUAUGUAAGUCUUGGUAAACACAUGGAAAAUGAAACCACUUAGUUUGCAUUACCUCACUUACAGUGGCACAUAAGUGGGUAUUUGUGAAG
Molecule: non-coding RNA, 3979 nt
Organism: Meleagris gallopavo (turkey)
Lineage: Eukaryota; Metazoa; Chordata; Aves; Galliformes; Phasianidae
Source: RefSeq, a predicted model, not a curated record